UCAUGUGUUUACGCGGAACGCGCAUAAACUGACCGCGUUUGGCCUGUUAUCAUCCGUCCGCGGCGUCGUCGUCUCGAAUCUGGACACUCCCCGACAUCAUCAGCAUCAUCAUCAUCAUCAUCAUCAUCCACAUUUCACUAG
Caenorhabditis elegans is the source of this 141-nucleotide non-coding RNA. The record is from Ensembl. Lineage: Eukaryota; Metazoa; Nematoda; Chromadorea; Rhabditida; Rhabditidae.